RNAcentral lists this ribosomal RNA (253 nucleotides) under uncultured bacterium. RNAcentral describes it as "partial 16S ribosomal RNA". It matches the Rfam family "Bacterial small subunit ribosomal RNA", at positions 524 to 776 of the family's 1533-position model. The record is from RNAcentral.
UACAGAGGGGGCAAGCGUUGUUCGGAAUUACUGGGCGUAAAGGGCGCGUAGGCGGCCUGCUAAGUCGAACGUGAAAUCCCCGGGCUCAACCCGGGAACUGCGUCCGAUACUGGCGGGCUCGAAUCCGGGAGAGGGAUGCGGAAUUCCAGGUGUAGCGGUGAAAUGCGUAGAUAUCUGGAGGAACACCGGUGGCGAAGGCGGCAUCCUGGACCGGUAUUGACGCUGAUGCGCGAAAGCCAGGGGAGCAAACGGG